RNAcentral lists this ribosomal RNA (192 nucleotides) under uncultured bacterium. RNAcentral describes it as "partial 16S ribosomal RNA". It matches the Rfam family "Bacterial small subunit ribosomal RNA", at positions 338 to 521 of the family's 1533-position model. The record is from RNAcentral.
CCUACGGGAGGCAGCAGUAGGGAAUUGUUCGCAAUGGGCGCGAGCCUGACGACGCAACGCCGCGUGGAGGACGAAGAUCUUCGGGUUGUAAACUCCUGUCAAGCGGGAAGAACAGUGUGCGGGUUAAUACCCCGCAUGCCUGACGGUACCGCUGAAGGAAGCCCCGGCUAACUCCGUGCCAGCAGCCGCGGU